AGGACGAACGCUGGCGGCGCGCUUAAUACAUGCAAGUCGAGCGAGAACCGGACCUUCGGGUCCGGGGAAAGCGGCGAACGGGUGAGUAACACGUGGGUAAUCUGCCCUCGGUACUGGGAUAGCCCGGGGAAACCCGGAUUAAUACCGGAUAGCCUUUCGAGCUCUCGGGCUCGUUAGAAAAUGGUGGCUUCGGCUUCCGACUGAGGAUGAGCCCGCGGCGGAUUAGCUUGUUGGUGAGGUAAUGGCUCACCAAGGCUCCGAUCCGUAGCUGGUCUGAGAGGACGAUCAGCCACACUGGGACUGAGACACGGCCCAGACUCCUACGGGAGGCAGCAGUAGGGAAUCUUGCGCAAUGGGCGAAAGCCUGACGCAGCGACGCCGCGUGCGGAAGAAGGCCUUCGGGUGUAAACCGUCUUUACGAGGAGGACGAAGCCAGUACGGUUAACUACCCCAGAGGUCGACGGUACCUCCGAAGAACGAACGCCCCGGACUAACGUACCGUGACCAGCCAGCCCGGACGGUAAUCCGUAGAGCCGGCUGGACCG
This 545-nucleotide ribosomal RNA is filed under the name uncultured soil bacterium. RNAcentral's name for it is "bacterial SSU rRNA". It matches the Rfam family "Bacterial small subunit ribosomal RNA", at positions 26 to 530 of the family's 1533-position model. The record is from RNAcentral.